Molecule: ribosomal RNA, 148 nt
Filed under: Helotiales sp. NK251
Lineage: Eukaryota; Fungi; Ascomycota; Leotiomycetes; Helotiales
Description: partial 28S ribosomal RNA
Rfam family: Eukaryotic large subunit ribosomal RNA
Source: RNAcentral
UGACCUCGGAUCAGGUAGGGAUACCCGCUGAACUUAAGCAUAUCAAUAAGCGGAGGAAAAGAAACCAACAGGGAUUACCUCAGUAACGGCGAGUGAAGCGGUAACAGCUCAAAUUUGAAAGCUGCCAACAGGCCGCGUUGUAAUUUGU